Molecule: transfer RNA, 74 nt
Filed under: Bernardetia litoralis DSM 6794
Lineage: Bacteria; Pseudomonadati; Bacteroidota; Cytophagia; Cytophagales; Bernardetiaceae
Description: tRNA-Gly (TCC) (tRNA-Gly-TCC-2-1)
Rfam family: tRNA
About the family: Transfer RNA (tRNA) molecules are approximately 80 nucleotides in length. Their secondary structure includes four short double-helical elements and three loops (D, anti-codon, and T loops). Further hydrogen bonds mediate the characteristic L-shaped molecular structure. tRNAs have two regions of fundamental functional importance: the anti-codon, which is responsible for specific mRNA codon recognition, and the 3' end, to which the tRNAs corresponding amino acid is attached (by aminoacyl-tRNA synthetases). tRNAs cope with the degeneracy of the genetic code in two manners: having more than one tRNA (with a specific anti-codon) for a particular amino acid; and 'wobble' base-pairing, i.e. permitting non-standard base-pairing at the 3rd anti-codon position.
Source: Rfam by way of RNAcentral
GACAAAUUAGCUCAGUCGGUAGAGCAUCGGAAUUUCCAGUCCGAGUGUCACAGAUUCGACCCCUGUAUUUGUUA